GACGAACGCUGGCGGCGUGCCUAAUACAUGCAAGUGGGACGCAAGGAAACACACUGUGCUUGCACACCGUGUUUUCUUGAGUCGCGAACGGGUGAGUAACGCGUAGGUAACCUGCCUAUUAGCGGGGGAUAACUAUUGGAAACGAUAGCUAAUACCGCAUAAUAUUAAUUAUUGCAUGAUAAUUGAUUGAAAGAUGCAAGCGCAUCACUAGUAGAUGGACCUGCGUUGUAUUAGCUAGUUGGUAAGGUAAGAGCUUACCAAGGCGACGAUACAUAGCCGACCUGAGAGGGUGAUCGGCCACACUGGGACUAAGACACGGCCCAGACUCCUACGGGAGGCAGCAGUAGGGAAUCUUCGGCAAUGGACGAAAGUCUGAUCGAGCAACGCCGCGUGAGUGAAGAAGGUUUUCGGAUCGUAAAGCUCUGUUGUAAGUCAAGAACGUGUGUGAGAGUGGAAAG
This 458-nucleotide ribosomal RNA is filed under the name Streptococcus mutans. Its description in RNAcentral is "bacterial SSU rRNA". It matches the Rfam family "Bacterial small subunit ribosomal RNA", at positions 28 to 464 of the family's 1533-position model. The record is from RNAcentral. Lineage: Bacteria; Bacillati; Bacillota; Bacilli; Lactobacillales; Streptococcaceae.